AGUUUGGAUGCAGUUCCCAGGUGAGCCCGGGGGCUUUCACAUCCAACUUAACGAACCACCUACGCGCGCUUUACGCCCAGAAUUCCCGAUUAACGCUUGCACCCUUCGUAUUACCGCGGCUGCUGGCACGANAGUUAGCCGGUGCUUAUUCUGUCGGUAACGUCAAAAUUCCUGGAUAUUAGCCAGAAACCCUUCCUCCCAACUUAAAGUGCUUUACAAUCCGAAGACCUUCUUCACACACCGCGGCAUGGCUGGAUCAGGCUUUCGCCCAUUGUCCAAUAUUCCCCACUGCUGCCUCCCGUAGGAGUCUGGACCGUGUCUCAGUUCCAGUGUGGCUGAUCAUCCUCUCAGACCAGCUACGGAUCGUCGCCUUGGUGAGCCUUUACCUCACCAACUAGCUAAUCCGACCUAGGCUCAUCCAAUAGCGCAAGGCCCGAAGGUCCCCUGCUUUCUCCCGUAGGACGUAUGCGGUAUUAGCGUUCCUUUCGGAACGUUAUCCCCCACUAUUGGGCAGAUUCCUAGGCAUUACUCACCCGUCCGCCGCUGAAUCCCAGGAGCAAGCUCCCGUUCAUCCAGCUCGACUUGCAUGUGUUAGGCCUGCCGCCAGCGNNUUCAAUCUGAGCCAGAAUCAAACNCUAANUUN
RNAcentral lists this ribosomal RNA (643 nucleotides) under Pseudomonas sp. CC7. RNAcentral describes it as "partial 16S ribosomal RNA". Lineage: Bacteria; Pseudomonadati; Pseudomonadota; Gammaproteobacteria; Pseudomonadales; Pseudomonadaceae. The record is from RNAcentral.